Molecule: long non-coding RNA, 390 nt
Organism: Larimichthys crocea (large yellow croaker)
Lineage: Eukaryota; Metazoa; Chordata; Actinopteri; Sciaenidae
Exons: 3
Source: RefSeq, a predicted model, not a curated record
CUGCAUAGGUUUUAGGAGAAAAUUGAGCUACUCCUGGCUGGGAGUAAACAAAAAAAACAAAAAAAGUCGGACAAAAAAGUCAGAAAACACUUGGACACUCCAAAUAAAUGGAAGUACUGUGUGGAGAAAGUUUACAGUUUGUGGCCUGGUUAUCUGGACACUUUGCCACCACAAAGAAAAACCGUUUCAGUCUGAAUACUAUUUGCAGAAUGGCAGAAACGAUACAGACUCCUCCACUGAUGAAGAGAUUGGUCAACACAUCAAACUGAGGCAUAACGACGAGCACCAGGACUGAGGCUGUACAAAGCUCCUGAAGGCACACCUCCACAGUGAUUUAAGAAACACCAGGAAGUUGGGGAAGACCAGACAGAAAACCAGCAUCAGCAUGUA